GAUGAACGCUGGCGGCGUGCCUAAUACAUGCAAGUCGAGCGAACGGACGAGAAGCUUGCUUCUCUGAUGUUAGCGGCGGACGGGUGAGUAACACGUGGAUAACCUACCUAUAAGACUGGGAUAACUUCGGGAAACCGUAGCUAAUACCGGAUAAUAUUUUGAACCGCAUGGUUCAAAAGUGAAAGACGGUCUUGCUGUCACUUAUAGAUGGAUCCGCGCUGCAUUAGCUAGUUGGUAAGGUAACGGCUUACCAAGGCAACGAUGCAUAGCCGACCUGAGAGGGUGAUCGGCCACACUGGAACUGAGACACGGUCCAGACUCCUACGGGAGGCAGCAGUAGGGAAUCUUCCGCAAUGGGCGAAAGCCUGACGGAGCAACGCCGCGUGAGUGAUGAAGGUCUUCGGAUCGUAAAAUUCUGUUAUUAGGGAAGAACAUAUGUGUAAGUAACUGUGCACAUCUUGACGGUACCUAAUCAGAAAGCCACGGCUAACUACGUG
RNAcentral lists this ribosomal RNA (497 nucleotides) under uncultured bacterium. RNAcentral describes it as "partial 16S ribosomal RNA". It matches the Rfam family "Bacterial small subunit ribosomal RNA", at positions 28 to 507 of the family's 1533-position model. The record is from RNAcentral.